Molecule: long non-coding RNA, 448 nt
Organism: Rhipicephalus microplus (southern cattle tick)
Lineage: Eukaryota; Metazoa; Arthropoda; Arachnida; Ixodida; Ixodidae
Source: RefSeq, a predicted model, not a curated record
AGUGCAGGUCUGGUUAAAAUUAGACGGGGGAAAAACCUUGGCGGUACUUUAGGAAUGGCAAAUAAGGGAAAGGCCUGCAGGAAUGGCAAAGCUGCCUUAGGGUUGGACCGGCCUGUUACCUUUUCCGGUGUCCAGACGUCGGCUCAUGAAAUCGCUCAUUUGUUGAACGCUGACCAUGAUGGUCACGGCACAGCAAAGAACUGCUCAGGUGAUGAGGGUUACAUAAUGAGCAGCCCACGAAGGAACGGGAAUAACAGCUGUGCAUUUUCCAACUGCAGCAAGAAUGACAUCGCCGACUUUUUGACGUGGCGAUAUUCAAAAUGUAUAUUUCGAAAAGACGUAUGCCACGUCAUUUCUCUACCAAACAAGGCGGCAGACUUUCCAGGGGAUGUAAUGAAUGGGCAAACAUUCUGUAAUGAAUACUACAGGGAACCCAGAUACUUGAACU